CGAUUACGGCUCAGUAACACGUAGCUAACCUACCCUUAGGACGUGGAUACCCCCGAGAAAUUGGGGUUAAUCCGCGAUAGAUGUAAUGUCCUGGAAUGGUAUUACGUCUAAAGGUAUUUCAUACAUGUUUGAAAUAUGCCUAAGGACGGGGCUGCGGCCGAUCAGGCUGUUGGUGAGGUAAUGGCUCACCAAACCUUUGACCGGUACGGGCCAUGAGAGUGGUAGCCCGGAGAUGGACACUGAGACAAGGGUCCAGGCCCUAAGGGGCGCAGCAACCGCGAAACCUCCACAAUGCACUCACGUGCGAUGGGGCUAUCUCGAGUGCCACCUGAUGAAGGUGGCUUUUCCUUGGUCUUCAAAGCCUUGGGAAUAAGAGGGGGGCAAGACUGGUGUCAGCCGCCGCGGUAACACCAGCCCCUCGAGUGGUGGGGAUGAUUAUUUGGCCUAAAGCGUCCGUAGCCGGCCGAGCAAGUCUUCCGUUAAAUCCAGCGUCUCAAGCGUUGGACCGCGGGAGAUACUACACGGCUAGAGAGUGGGAGAGGUCAGCGGUAUUCUGGGGGUAGGGCAGAAAUCCUUAGAUCCCCGGAGGACCACCAGUGGCGAAGGCUG
Molecule: ribosomal RNA, 609 nt
Filed under: uncultured archaeon
Lineage: Archaea
Description: bacterial SSU rRNA
Rfam family: Archaeal small subunit ribosomal RNA
Source: RNAcentral